Molecule: non-coding RNA, 84 nt
Organism: Trichuris suis (pig whipworm)
Lineage: Eukaryota; Metazoa; Nematoda; Enoplea; Trichinellida; Trichuridae
Source: Rfam
GGUAAGAUGGCCGAGCGGUCCAAGGCGCUGCGUUCAGGUCACAGUCCACUUCUGUGGGCGUGGGUUCGAAUCCCACUCUUGUCA